Syngnathus acus (greater pipefish) is the source of this 234-nucleotide long non-coding RNA. RefSeq lists it as uncharacterized. The transcript is spliced from 2 exons. Lineage: Eukaryota; Metazoa; Chordata; Actinopteri; Syngnathiformes; Syngnathidae. The record is from RefSeq and is a predicted model, not a curated record.
CUUCUGUGGUGAUCCUGCAGUCGAUGGCCAAGAAAGCAUCCUCCAGUGCCUGGAAAAAAAACACACAAAGCCUAUGAGUGAUCUCAAGUGAAGAAAGGACUGAAACAAAAUUCCAGAGAAGACACGAUAUGAGAAAUUCAGUUGUCUGUCUCCCAACUACCCAAAGAUGAAACCACUUUGUUGAAGAGAAGCAGCAAAUACAUUCAGCAAAAUCGUGAGUUGUAUUUUAAUCAU